Molecule: long non-coding RNA, 388 nt
Filed under: Phascolarctos cinereus (koala)
Lineage: Eukaryota; Metazoa; Chordata; Mammalia; Diprotodontia; Phascolarctidae
Description: lncRNA (ENSPCIG00000031249.1)
Source: RNAcentral
AAUGAUCUAGCAGGCCUGGUCUCCUGUUACAUCCUGGCUCAGAUGUCUUCCAUCCAGUCAAGCCAGCCUGGCUGAAGCUGUCUGAGUGGCUCACUUCUGACCUCCAUCUUCAUAAAGGAAGAAGGAACCUGGCAACCCUGGACAAUGUUACUUACCAGGAUAUUAGGCAAACUGAAAAAUAUAUCAAGCCCACUUAUGAAAAGAUCUUGGGAGGAGGAGUAAUGUAUAAAUACAUUCAGAAGGAACCCUACGAUUCAUACCAACCUAAUUUUCUUAUUAGAAUAUGAAGCAAGGAAGGAAGGAUUCUCUACAAAGCAAAGCUACAUUUGCUUCUCCUUUUGUAAAGGCCAAUUUCUGCUGGAAUAAAAUAUCUGUAAAAAUAAUAUCA